Molecule: ribosomal RNA, 117 nt
Filed under: Sinocyclocheilus grahami
Lineage: Eukaryota; Metazoa; Chordata; Actinopteri; Cypriniformes; Cyprinidae
Source: RNAcentral
UGCCACAGCCAUAUCACCCUGCAGCCCAAGACUGGUUGCCCACUGACGCUAAGCAGGGUUGAGCCUGGUCAGUACCUGGAUGGGAGACCUCCUGGGAAAACUAGGUUGCUGUUGGAA